CUAAGUACCCCGAGGAAAAGAAAUCAACCGAGAUUCCCCCAGUAGCGGCGAGCGAACGGGGAGGAGCCCAGAGCCUGAAUCAGUGUGUGUGUUAGUGGAAGCGUCUGGAAAGGCGCGCGAUACAGGGUGACAGCCCCGUACACAAAAAUGCACAUAUUGUGAGCUCGAUGAGUAGGGCGGGACACGUGGUAUCCUGUCUGAAUAUGGGGGGACCAUCCUCCAAGGCUAAAUACUCCUGACUGACCGAUAGUGAACCAGUACCGUGAGGGAAAGGCGAAAAGAACCCCGGCGAGGGGAGUGAAAAAGAACCUGAAACCGUGUACG
RNAcentral lists this ribosomal RNA (324 nucleotides) under Escherichia coli. RNAcentral's name for it is "partial 23S ribosomal RNA". It matches the Rfam family "Bacterial large subunit ribosomal RNA", at positions 202 to 563 of the family's 2925-position model. The record is from RNAcentral. Lineage: Bacteria; Pseudomonadati; Pseudomonadota; Gammaproteobacteria; Enterobacterales; Enterobacteriaceae.